RNAcentral lists this ribosomal RNA (366 nucleotides) under Clostridioides difficile. RNAcentral's name for it is "partial 23S ribosomal RNA". It matches the Rfam family "Bacterial large subunit ribosomal RNA", at positions 2559 to 2925 of the family's 2925-position model. Lineage: Bacteria; Bacillati; Bacillota; Clostridia; Peptostreptococcales; Peptostreptococcaceae. The record is from RNAcentral.
UAGGUCCCAAGGGUUGGGCUGUUCGCCCAUUAAAGUGGUACGCGAGCUGGGUUCAGAACGUCGUGAGACAGUUCGGUCCCUAUCCGUCGCAGGCGUAGGAAAUUUGAGAAGACCUGUCCUUAGUACGAGAGGACCGGGAUGGACGUACCUCUGGUGUACCAGUUGUUCUGCCAAGGGCAUGGCUGGGUAGCUAUGUACGGAAUGGAUAAGCGCUGAAAGCAUCUAAGCGCGAAGCCAACUUCAAGAUAAGAUUUCCCACCGCAAGGGUAAGACCCCAGAAAGACUAUCUGGUUGAUAGGUCGAAGGUGUAAGUGCAGCAAUGUAUUUAGCUUAUCGAUACUAAUAGGUCGAGGACUUGACCAAAUU